This 497-nucleotide ribosomal RNA is filed under the name uncultured bacterium. RNAcentral describes it as "partial 16S ribosomal RNA". It matches the Rfam family "Bacterial small subunit ribosomal RNA", at positions 28 to 507 of the family's 1533-position model. The record is from RNAcentral.
GAUGAACGCUGGCGGCGUGCCUAAUACAUGCAAGUCGAGCGAACAGACGAGGAUCUUGCUCCUCUGACGUUAGCGGCGGACGGGUGAGUAACACGUGGAUAACCUACCUAUAAGACUGGGAUAACUUCGGGAAACCGGAGCUAAUACCGGAUAAGAUAUUGAACCGCAUGGUUCAAUAGUGAAAGACGGUUUUGCUGUCACUUAUAGAUGGAUCCGCGCCGCAUUAGCUAGUUGGUAAGGUAACGGCUUACCAAGGCAACGAUGCGUAGCCGACCUGAGAGGGUGAUCGGCCACACUGGAACUGAGACACGGUCCAGACUCCUACGGGAGGCAGCAGUAGGGAAUCUUCCGCAAUGGGCGAAAGCCUGACGGAGCAACGCCGCGUGAGUGAUGAAGGUCUUCGGAUCGUAAAACUCUGUUAUUAGGGAAGAACAAAUGUGUAAGUAACUCUGCACGUCUUGACGGUACCUAAUCAGAAAGCCACGGCUAACUACGUG